This is a non-coding RNA of Trichonephila inaurata madagascariensis, 819 nucleotides long. NCBI's taxonomy places the organism in Eukaryota, Metazoa, Arthropoda, Arachnida, Araneae, Nephilidae. The record is from the annotation of a GenBank genome assembly.
AGGCAGGCAGUUUGUCUGGGGCGGAACAUCUGUCAAAUGGCAACGCAGGUGGUGUCCUGCUGCCGGCUCGCCGGGACGGAAAACCUGGCUUAGAGCAAAGGGCAAAAGCCGGCUGCUCUCGUUCUUCAGCAAGCGAAGGGAAACAGGGGCCCAUCGAUCCUUUCUAAUUCUUUUAGAUGUGAGAGUCUCACGGGAGAGGUGGCCGGAAAAGUUACCGGAGGGAUAACUGCUUGUGGCGGCCAAGCGUUCAUAGCGACGUCGCUUUAUUGAUUCUUCGAUGUCGGCUCUUCCUAUCAUUGCGAAGCAGAAUUCGCAAAGUGUUGGAUUGUUCACCCACUAACAGGGAACGUGAGUUGGGCUUAUAGACCGUCGUGAGACAGGUUAGUUUUUACCUCAUGAAGACGGUCGUCGCUACGGUCAAACUUGCCCAGUACGAGAGGAAACUGUAGGUUAACAUUUGUACUGCGCCGAGAGGGAAAGGCUGGUGGCGCGAAGCUACCAUCUGGUAGGAGAACGGCUGAACGCCUCUAAGCCGGAAGCCUGCCCGGUGAUGGUGAGAUAAUCUAUUAGUGCCUCGCUUCGAACGGUUUUCGAUAGUCCGUGCCUUCCCCACAGACAAAGGGGAGGAGCCCCGGGUCCACGUCCCAUUCUAGCUCCGGAGCGCGGCCCCCAUAUGACCUGGGGGUCCUCGGAAGAGCCUGCCUCCGGCGGGUGUGCGUGACGUGGGCGCAGAGUCGUCUGCAGACGACGUUCCAUCUGGACGGGGUGUCGUAAGUAGCAGAGCACCCACCACAGUGCGAUCUACUGAGACUCAUCCUU